This 421-nucleotide ribosomal RNA is filed under the name uncultured bacterium. Its description in RNAcentral is "bacterial SSU rRNA". It matches the Rfam family "Bacterial small subunit ribosomal RNA", at positions 359 to 771 of the family's 1533-position model. The record is from RNAcentral.
GAAUAUUGGACAAUGGGCGCAAGCCUGAUCCAGCCAUGCCGCGUGUGUGAAGAAGGCCUUCGGGUUGUAAAGCACUUUUGUUGGGGAAGAAAAGCCAUGGGCUAAUACCCUGUGGUUCUGACGGUACCCAAAGAAUAAGCACCGGCUAACUCUGUGCCAGCAGCCGCGGUAAUACAGAGGGUGCAAGCGUUGUUCGGAAUCACUGGGCGUAAAGCGCGCGCAGGCGGAUAGAGCAAGUCUGGAGUGAAAUCUCGCCGCUCAACGGCGGGGCUGCUUUGGAUACUGCAUAUCUGGAGAUCGGUAGAGGCUGGUAGAAUUGCUGGUGUAGCGGUGGAAUGCGUAGAGAUCAGCAAGAAUACCCGUGGCGAAGGCGGCCAGCUGGGCCGAAUCUGACGCUGAGGCGCGAAAGCGUGGGGAGCAA